This 253-nucleotide ribosomal RNA is filed under the name uncultured bacterium. RNAcentral describes it as "partial 16S ribosomal RNA". It matches the Rfam family "Bacterial small subunit ribosomal RNA", at positions 524 to 776 of the family's 1533-position model. The record is from RNAcentral.
CACGGGGGGAGCAAGCGUUGCUCGGAAUCACUGGGCGUAAAGGGUGCGUAGGCGGGUCUUUAAGUCAGUGGUAAAAUCUCCGGGCUUAACCCGGAAACUGCCAUUGAUACUAUCUGUCUUGAAUACCGUGGAGGUGAGCGGAAUAUGUCAUGUAGCGGUGAAAUGCUUAGAUAUGACAUAGAACACCAAUUGCGAAGGCAGCUCACUACGCGAAUAUUGACACUGAGGCACGAAAGCGUGGGGAUCAAACAGG